RNAcentral lists this ribosomal RNA (502 nucleotides) under uncultured bacterium. RNAcentral describes it as "bacterial SSU rRNA". It matches the Rfam family "Bacterial small subunit ribosomal RNA", at positions 24 to 518 of the family's 1533-position model. The record is from RNAcentral.
UCAGGAUGAACGCUAGCGACAGCUAACACAUGCAAGUCGAGGGCAGCAUAAAAGUAGACAUACUUUGGUGGCGACCGGCGCACGGGUGAGUAACGCGUAUGCAACCUACCUAUCAGGAGGGGAAGUAACCCGGCGAAAGUCGGACUAAUACCGCAUAAAACAGGGACACCGCAUGGUGAUAUUUGUUAAAGAAAUUCGCUGAUAGAUGGGCAUGCGUUCCAUUAGGUAGUUGGUGAGGUAACGGCUCACCAAGCCGACGAUGGAUAGGGGAACUGAGAGGUUGGUCCCCCACACUGGUACUGAGACACGGACCAGACUCCUACGGGAGGCAGCAGUGAGGAAUAUUGGUCAAUGGGCGAGAGCCUGAACCAGCCAAGCCGCGUAGAAGGAAGAAGGAUCUAUGGUUCGUAAACUUCUUUUGCAGGGGAAUAAAGUGCAGGACGUGUCCUGUUUUGUAUGUACCCUGAGAAUAAGGAUCGGCUAACUCCGUGCCAGCCGCCGC